Molecule: transfer RNA, 83 nt
Filed under: Oscillibacter sp.
Lineage: Bacteria; Bacillati; Bacillota; Clostridia; Eubacteriales; Oscillospiraceae
Description: tRNA-Leu
Rfam family: tRNA
About the family: Transfer RNA (tRNA) molecules are approximately 80 nucleotides in length. Their secondary structure includes four short double-helical elements and three loops (D, anti-codon, and T loops).
Source: RNAcentral
GCGCCUGUGAUGGAACUGGUAGACAUGCGAGAUUUAGGUUCUCGUGCUUUGGCGUGGGGGUUCGAGUCCCUUCAGGCGCACCA